Tinamus guttatus (white-throated tinamou) is the source of this 100-nucleotide non-coding RNA. NCBI's taxonomy places the organism in Eukaryota, Metazoa, Chordata, Aves, Tinamiformes, Tinamidae. The record is from RefSeq and is a predicted model, not a curated record.
UAAAAUACCCCAGCUGGGCUUUGGGUCAAGGGGAAAAAUGUAACAUUCACAGACUCGAAGGCUGCUGGAUUGCUGGGCCUGGCUCACACCCACGAAGGUC